GACGAACGCUGGCGGCGUGCUUAACACAUGCAAGUCGAACGGAAAGGCCCUGCUUUUGUGGGGUGCUCGAGUGGCGAACGGGUGAGUAACACGUGAGUAACCUGCCCUUGACUUUGGGAUAACUUCAGGAAACUGGGGCUAAUACCGGAUAGGAGCUCCUGCUGCAUGGUGGGGGUUGGAAAGUUUCGGCGGUUGGGGAUGGACUCGCGGCUUAUCAGCUUGCUGGUGGGGUAGUGGCUUACCAAGGCUUUGACGGGUAGCCGGCCUGAGAGGGUGACCGGCCACAUUGGGACUGAGAUACGGCCCAGACUCCUACGGGAGGCAGCAGUGGGGAAUAUUGCACAAUGGGCGGAAGCCUGAUGCAGCAACGCCGCGUGCGGGAUGACGGCCUUCGGGUUGUAAACCGCUUUCGCCAGUGACGAAGCGUGAGUGACGGUAAUGGGUAAAGAAGCACCGGCUAACUACGUG
This 468-nucleotide ribosomal RNA is filed under the name uncultured bacterium. Its description in RNAcentral is "partial 16S ribosomal RNA". It matches the Rfam family "Bacterial small subunit ribosomal RNA", at positions 28 to 507 of the family's 1533-position model. The record is from RNAcentral.